This 680-nucleotide long non-coding RNA is filed under the name Marmota monax (woodchuck). The record is from RNAcentral. Lineage: Eukaryota; Metazoa; Chordata; Mammalia; Rodentia; Sciuridae.
AAGGGGUUUAGGGAGAGCAGACUGGGGGCCUGGAGAUUCCUAUCAUCCUGGGGAGGUGCCCACUUGCCUGGCAGGCACCUCUUGGGGCACAAUUGUGUCAGGGGAGUCCUCCCAGACAUUUGUUGGCAGUAGGAAGGGCUGGGGUUCUUCCUGGAACCCCCAGGAGCCCUCUCCUGCCCUGAUGUUCUGGGAAGUGUGUGUCCUUCAUCUUCAAGGUCAAGAAAGGAGCAUGGAGAUGUGUCCCCUUGAAGGGUCAAUAUCACUCCACAGUCCACCAUGGUGUCAGCUUCCUGUGUCCUAACCUCUCAGCCUUUUCCAAGUGGCCAGUGCCCAAGGCCCAUGGGGCACUCUGGGGACUGUGAGGGUCCCUGGGGCCCCAUGGCAGGGAGCCCCACCCCAGCCAGAGCAGCUGCUCGCCCCCCGGCUCUUGCUUGAGGCCUGGACUUUGCAAUGUGCAGAGAAGAGAGGCCUAGAGAAGAGAAGGGACCCUGAGGGAGGGAGGGUUGUGAGGCCUGGGCCUUCCCUGUGGGUGGGGAGGGUGGCUCAGGAGGGCCCUGCUCCAGGCUGUGUCCUGCAUGAGCUCCGGCCCAGGCCCUAGAGCCCAAGCUCUUGUGGUGAGACCCUGAGGAUAGCUGGGACCCAUGGGGACAGGGCUCUGGAGGACAAGGCCAGCUCUGUGG